Long non-coding RNA from Pipistrellus kuhlii (Kuhl's pipistrelle), 659 nucleotides. RefSeq lists it as uncharacterized. The record is from RefSeq and is a predicted model, not a curated record. Lineage: Eukaryota; Metazoa; Chordata; Mammalia; Chiroptera; Vespertilionidae. The transcript is spliced from 3 exons.
AGUCAUGAAAGCAAAAACACAAUAACAAAACAAAACAAAAAACAAGGUCUUUGAUGUUCAGAAGGAUGUCCUUAAACUUGCCAAUAUUGCUUAAGCAGAAUAUUAAAAAUGUCUGCUCAUUUGUUUUUUUAAUUGUUUGGAAAAAUCACCUUCCUUGUUCACUCUUCUUAUGUUUUAUAUAGACACAGCCGAAAUCAACCACCAAUCCUUUCUAAAGCCUGAUCUUUUUAAAAAAAAUCCUGAAUACAUUCUGUUUCCUAUGACUGCUACCUAGAUUGUUUUAGCGUGGCUUUUAUUAAUGUGUUUUCAUGUGGAGCCUAGAAUACAGCCUUGUAGUCUCAUGUAUACAUGCCCUUUUUUGAUAAUCCAAAUGAAGUAACAAAGAACCCAAGUUCUAAGCAAAAGUUUUGCUGAAACUCAACCCAAUGAUUGAUCACAUCUUCAAGGAAGAUGGUAGAAAAUUGAUUGAACAUGGAGAGAACUAGCAUUGAUUGGAAGAAACUUUUACUGACUUUUACUGCAGAUUGAAUUUUGUCCUCCCAAACACCUGGCAAAGAAAGAUCACCUUCGAUGGAUGGACAGUAUUUCUUUCAUAUUGGAAUACAUACAGAAUGUACAACUUCAACUCAUUUUGUAAUAUUACAUUAAACAUUUAUGCC